This 472-nucleotide ribosomal RNA is filed under the name uncultured bacterium. Its description in RNAcentral is "bacterial SSU rRNA". It matches the Rfam family "Bacterial small subunit ribosomal RNA", at positions 30 to 486 of the family's 1533-position model. The record is from RNAcentral.
AUUGAACGCUGGCGGCAUGCCUUACACAUGCAAGUCGAACGGCAGCGGACCUUCGGGUGCCGGCGAGUGGCGAACGGGUGAGUAAUGCAUCGGAACGUGCCAUUGAGUGGGGGAUAACGUAGCGAAAGUUACGCUAAUACCGCAUAUUCUGUGAGCAGGAAAGCAGGGGACCGCAAGGCCUUGCGCUCUUUGAGCGGCCGAUGUCAGAUUAGCUAGUUGGUGAGGUAAAGGCUUACCAAGGCGACGAUCUGUAGCGGGUCUGAGAGGAUGAUCCGCCACACUGGAACUGAGACACGGUCCAGACUCCUACGGGAGGCAGCAGUGGGGAAUUUUGGACAAUGGGCGCAAGCCUGAUCCAGCCAUGCCGCGUGAGUGAAGAAGGCCUCGGUUGUAAGACGUCUUUCGGUCCGGGAACGGAAAGUACGCAUGGGUUAAGUUACCCUACGUUGUGGUAGUGACGGUACCGGAACGU